This is a long non-coding RNA of Pteropus alecto (black flying fox), 386 nucleotides long. RefSeq lists it as uncharacterized. NCBI's taxonomy places the organism in Eukaryota, Metazoa, Chordata, Mammalia, Chiroptera, Pteropodidae. The record is from RefSeq and is a predicted model, not a curated record. The transcript has 3 exons.
GAAUGGACCCAUGGCAGCUGCUUGUGGCUCUCCUGGAACACGCAUUCUUGGAACGUAGUCACCAUGUUGUAGAAAAGUCCAGGUUACGUGGAGAGGCCACCGUGGGUGCUCUGGCCAACCCCCAGGGUCGACCACCAGGAACGUGAGUGAGGACACCUAUGGGAUGUCUCCAGCUCCAGCUAUUUUCUGACUUCAUCCACUUGAGAGACCCCGAGCAACAACCAAUUCACUGAGCCCGGUCAACCCCACAACUACCACAGUUGACUGCAGGUACCUGAACUCGUGAAAGGUGAAACUGCAGACUCUGGAGCACUUAUUCAUGGUAGACAAAAGCAAAUAAUUCUGUUCUGCUAAGCUGAAUGCCCUCUGCUGAGGUACACAUCUGG